This 468-nucleotide ribosomal RNA is filed under the name uncultured bacterium. RNAcentral's name for it is "partial 16S ribosomal RNA". It matches the Rfam family "Bacterial small subunit ribosomal RNA", at positions 28 to 507 of the family's 1533-position model. The record is from RNAcentral.
GGCGAACGCUGGCGGCGUGCUUAACACAUGCAAGUCGAACGGAAAGGCCCUGCUUUUGUGGGGUGCUCGAGUGGCGAACGGGUGAGUAACACGUGAGUAACCUGCCCUUGACUUUGGGAUAACUUCAGGAAACUCGGGCUAAUACCGGAUAGGAGCUCUUGCUGCAUGGUGGGGGUUGGAAAGUUUCGGCGGUUGGGGAUGGACUCGCGGCUUAUCAGCUUGUUGGUGGGGUAGUGGCUUACCAAGGCUUUGACGGGUAGCCGGCCUGAGAGGGUGACCGGCCACAUUGGGACUGAGAUACGGCCCAGACUCCUACGGGAGGCAGCAGUGGGGAAUAUUGCACAAUGGGCGGAAGCCUGAUGCAGCAACGCCGCGUGCGGGAUGACGGCCUUCGGGUUGUAAACCGCUUUCGCCUGUGACGAAGCGUGAGUGACGGUAAUGGGUAAAGAAGCACCGGCUAACUACGUG